CCUUUGCUACCUUGCGCGCGCCAUGUUGUUUCUCACCUCCAAGGCCUGAUUGCCGUCCCUGUCAGCAGACUAUGGACUGAAACCUCUACAAAUGCAUGAGGAACUUCACUGAGUGCUGACACUAUGCUCUUGGACUGGCAGCCUCUGGAACUGUGUACAGAGUUUGUCCUGGGAAAAUGUAUAGAUGCCAGCUGCAGUUUUACCUUUGGAAAGAAUGCCAAAUCGGUAAUCACAACAAAGCCUCUCCAAACAAACCAUGGUUUACUCAUCAUCUAUAUAAGGCAAAGGAAAAAGAAAAAGGUAAAAUUAUGAACUGGACCUCAGGACUACUGGAUUUUGCUCCAUACUUGUUCGCUAGACAGCUGUAUGGCUUUAGCAGCUUCGAAGGCGAGGAUUGUGCUAAAACUUCAGCCAUUACAGAACUGGAUUAUGGACACACAUGACCUAUUCAAGUAAUUCCCAAACCCAGCUGCUGAUCAGUAUCACUAGGGAGCUCCUAGUGAUACUCCAUGUACCCGCAGAAAUUGAUUCAAUGUCUGUGGCAAGAGGAAUCUGUUUUUCAAUGCAUUAAUCCAAGUAUUCCUAAUGUAUGUCUUGCUUAGAAUGAUAAAUCAAUCUUUCUUUCAUCAUUUUUAUCAGUACAUAUUUGCAGUACAUAAUGUUUACAUUCCUUGUGUGGAAUUGGUAUGGCACAUAACACAUCCCCAAAAUCUGGCCUGACAUUGAAGACCUUACAAAAUGUGGCCCCACCCUACCGCGGUAGAGGGGUUUUGUCACAGUGUUACUUCCAUCCCACCACCAUGCAUGUUGCUUACCAGUGAUUUUAUGCAUGUUAAUUUCUCUCAGUUUUUGCCAACACAUCAAACUAUGACUCCUUCCUUUAAGACAUAACCCAGGUUUCUUGUGCCUAAGAAGUUGCUCCUCACUCCCUGAGCCAGCUUUAACUGUGUCCCUGUCUGGGUUUCCACAACACUCUGUUAAAACAUUGAUAAUAAACUAUAUUUCUUACCACUAGCUCACAAG
RNAcentral lists this long non-coding RNA (1023 nucleotides) under Heterocephalus glaber (naked mole-rat). Its description in RNAcentral is "lncRNA (ENSHGLG00000040212.1)". The record is from RNAcentral. Lineage: Eukaryota; Metazoa; Chordata; Mammalia; Rodentia; Bathyergidae.